CUUCGAUUUCCUUGAGGAUGCGACCCAGGUCGACCCCAUCGUAUCCUGAACGCCGAAAGCGAGCCAAGUCAUUUCCUGUGCCCAGGGGCAGCACAGCCACCGGGGGGCGCACCAGCAGAGGCACCUUGUCUGGGGAGGAAACGGGACUGAGAUCAGAUCAUCAAAAAGUCACCAUGGAACCUAAGGAAAGUAAUGAGUUCACAUGGCAUAGAGCCAAGGUCAGAAGAGGCU
Molecule: long non-coding RNA, 231 nt
Organism: Scleropages formosus (Asian bonytongue)
Lineage: Eukaryota; Metazoa; Chordata; Actinopteri; Osteoglossiformes; Osteoglossidae
Exons: 3
Source: RefSeq, a predicted model, not a curated record